AGUCCUGUAGCUCAGUGGUUCGAGCGAUUGCCUCGUAAGCAAGAGGACCUGGGUUUGAUUCCCGGCCAGGGCGA
This is a non-coding RNA of Callorhinchus milii (elephant shark), 74 nucleotides long. The record is from the annotation of a RefSeq genome assembly. NCBI's taxonomy places the organism in Eukaryota, Metazoa, Chordata, Chondrichthyes, Chimaeriformes, Callorhinchidae.